This 455-nucleotide ribosomal RNA is filed under the name uncultured bacterium. RNAcentral describes it as "bacterial SSU rRNA". It matches the Rfam family "Bacterial small subunit ribosomal RNA", at positions 29 to 526 of the family's 1533-position model. The record is from RNAcentral.
AACGAACGCUGGCGGCAUGCCUAACACAUGCAAGUCGAACGAGACCUUCGGGUCUAGCGGCGCACGGGUGCGUAACGCGUGGGAACCUGCCUUUAGGUUCGGAAUAACUCAGAGAAAUUUGAGCUAAUACCGGAUAAUGUCUUCGGACCAAAGAUUUAUCGCCUUUAGAUGGGCCCGCGUUGGAUUAGCUAGUUGGUGGGGUAAAGGCCUACCAAGGCGACGAUCCAUAGCUGGUCUGAGAGGAUGAUCAGCCACACUGGGACUGAGACACGGCCCAGACUCCUACGGGAGGCAGCAGUGGGGAAUAUUGGACAAUGGGCGAAAGCCUGAUCCAGCAAUGCCGCGUGAGUGAUGAAGGCCUUAGGGUUGUAAAGCUCUUUUACCCGAGAUGAUAAUGACAGUAUCGGGAGAAUAAGCUCCGGCUAACUCCGUGCCAGCAGCCGCGGUAAAGUGAC